UACGUAGGGUGCAGGCGUUAAUCGGAAUUACUGGGCGUAAAGCGUGCGCAGGCGGUUUGCUAAGACAGGUGUGAAAUCCCCGGGCUUAACCUGGGAACUGCGCUUGUAACUGGCAAGCUAGAGUGUGGCAGAGGGGGGUGGAAUUCCACGUGUAGCAGUGAAAUGCGUAGAGAUGCGGAGGAACACCGAUGGCGAAGGCAGCCCCCUGGGCUAGCACUGACGCUCAGGCACGAAAGCGUGGGGAGCAAACAGG
RNAcentral lists this ribosomal RNA (253 nucleotides) under uncultured bacterium. RNAcentral's name for it is "partial 16S ribosomal RNA". It matches the Rfam family "Bacterial small subunit ribosomal RNA", at positions 524 to 776 of the family's 1533-position model. The record is from RNAcentral.